GAACGCUGGCGGUCUGCUUAACACAUGCAAGUCGAACGGGCUCUUCGGAGCUAGUGGCGGACGGGUGAGUAACGCGUGAGAAUCUGCCCUUAGGACGGGGACAACAGCUGGAAACGGCUGCUAACACCCGAUGUGCUGAGAGGUGAAACAUUAAUGGCCUGAGGAUGAGCUCGCGUCUGAUUAGCUAGUUGGUGGGGUAACGGCUCACCAAGGCGACGAUCAGUAGCUGGUCUGAGAGGAUGAUCAGCCACACUGGGACUGAGACACGGCCCAGACUCCUACGGGAGGCAGCAGUGGGGAAUUUUCCGCAAUGGGCGAAAGCCUGACGGAGCAAGACCGCGUGAGGGAAGAAGGUCUGUGGAUUGUAAACCUCUUUUGACUGGGAAGAAGACAGUGACGGUACCAGUCGAAUCAGCCUCGGCUAACUCCGUGCCAGCAGCCGCGGUAAUACGGAGGAGGCAAGCGUUAUCCGGAAUUAUUGGGCGUAAAGCGUCCGUAGGUGGCUAUCCAAGUCUGCUGUCAAAGCAUGGAGCUUAACUCCAUAAAGGCAGUGGAAACUGGGUGGCUAGAGUGCGAUAGGGGCAAGGGGAAUUCCCAGUGUAGCGGUGAAAUGCGUAGAUAUUGGGAAGAACACCGGUGGCGAAAGCGCCUUGCUGGGUCUGCACUGACACUGAGGGACGAAAGCUAGGGGAGCGAAAGGGAUUAGAUACCCCUGUAGUCUUAGCUGUAAACGAUGGGUACUAGGCGUUGUCCGUAUCGACCCGGGCAGAGCCGUAGCUAACGCGUUAAGUACCCCGCCUGGGGAGUACGCUCGCAAGAGUGAAACUCAAAUG
Molecule: ribosomal RNA, 833 nt
Filed under: uncultured bacterium
Lineage: Bacteria
Description: bacterial SSU rRNA
Rfam family: Bacterial small subunit ribosomal RNA
Source: RNAcentral